UACGGAGGGUGCGAGCGUUAAUCGGAAUUACUGGGCGUAAAGCGCGCGUAGGCGGUUUGUUAAGUCGGAUGUGAAAGCCCCGGGCUCAACCUGGGAACUGCACCCGAUACUGGCCGACUUGAGUGCGAGAGAGGGAGGUAGAAUUCCAUGUGUAGCGGUGAUAUGCGUAGAUAUAUGGAGGAAUACCGGUGGCGAAGGCGGCCUCCUGGCUCGACACUGACGCUGAGGUGCGAAAGCGUGGGUAGCAAACAGG
Molecule: ribosomal RNA, 253 nt
Filed under: uncultured bacterium
Lineage: Bacteria
Description: partial 16S ribosomal RNA
Rfam family: Bacterial small subunit ribosomal RNA
Source: RNAcentral